UUUGCUUCUGUUGGUAGGCCUUUCGAUGUCGUCUUUUACCAAAUCAACAACUUUGCUCAGGUUCCUUCUUAGAAGUCGGUGCCUUUCGAUAACCUCUCUGUCGUUGAGAUAAUUUUAAGGAUUGUUUCUUGGGCUCCGUACCAUUUUCAAUGAUUUUCUUCAAUUUUAAGGUCAUAAAGACCACACUCGAGGACUCUCCUCUCCUUCUCUGCUUAAGAAAUAUCCAUGGUAUAAUAUAAAUUUUACAGAUAAUAACGGAUAAGAAAUUGUCCAUGGUAUUUAAACAGUUUCCUGCUUUCCACGUCAACUUGGGGCUGCUCGUGUAGCAUCAAGACAAGAUCUCCAGGACUAUACAAGUUUUAGGACAUUUUUGCAUCAUAUUUUUCUUUUUAUACUUUUGCUGACAUUUGUAGUUUUCUUCUGAUAA
This is a long non-coding RNA of Magallana angulata, 427 nucleotides long. RefSeq lists it as uncharacterized. NCBI's taxonomy places the organism in Eukaryota, Metazoa, Mollusca, Bivalvia, Ostreida, Ostreidae. The record is from RefSeq and is a predicted model, not a curated record. The transcript has 3 exons.